RNAcentral lists this ribosomal RNA (364 nucleotides) under Burkholderiales bacterium. Its description in RNAcentral is "bacterial SSU rRNA". It matches the Rfam family "Bacterial small subunit ribosomal RNA", at positions 1 to 365 of the family's 1533-position model. Lineage: Bacteria; Pseudomonadati; Pseudomonadota; Betaproteobacteria; Burkholderiales. The record is from RNAcentral.
AAACUGAAGAGUUUGAUCCUGGCUCAGAUUGAACGCUGGCGGCAUGCCUUACACAUGCAAGUCGAACGGCAGCACGGGGGGUAACCCCUGGUGGCGAGUGGCGAACGGGUGAGUAAUAUAUCGGAACGUGUCCUGUAGCGGGGGAUAACCUAUCGAAAGAUGGACUAAUACCGCAUACGACCUAUGGGUGAAAGCGGAGGACCGCAAGGCUUCGCACUAUAGGAGCGGCCGAUAUCGGAUUAGCUAGUUGGUGGGGUAAAAGCCUACCAAGGCGACGAUCCGUAGCUGGUCUGAGAGGACGAUCAGCCACACUGGAACUGAGACACGGUCCAGACUCCUACGGGAGGCAGCAGUGGGGAAUUUU